This 361-nucleotide transfer-messenger RNA is filed under the name Planctomycetales bacterium. It matches the Rfam family "transfer-messenger RNA". Rfam says of the family: Bacterial tmRNA, also known as 10Sa RNA or SsrA, is named for its dual tRNA and mRNA-like properties. RNAcentral also lists the same sequence under 1 other name. Lineage: Bacteria; Pseudomonadati; Planctomycetota; Planctomycetia; Planctomycetales. The record is from RNAcentral.
GGGGGCGAAUUGGAUUCGACCGGGUAGUUAGAAGUGAGGGUUGCGUGUCGUGGUUGGUCAGUUGGCCACGUUAAAAGCUGACUAAUAAAUUUAGUUGCAGAUGCAAAUCUAGCACUGGCUGCUUAAAUAAAGUAGCCCUGGCUGAGGAGGUUCGCCGGAGACGUCCGACUGCCAGCCGCAAAUCCGGAUCGUCUUUUACCGUGUAGGGCACGUAGAAGAUUAACUAAAGCUCCCUGCUGGCUUGGGACGUAGCCUCGUCGAUGGGCGACGAAACAAGUGAGACUUAAAUUGUCGAAUACACACGUAGACGCUUUCAUGGAAAUAUCGCGGGACGCGGGUUCGAUUCCCGCCGCCUCCACUA